GCGAAAACUUUACAAUGCUGGCAACAGCGAUAAGGGAACCUCGAGUGCCAGGUUACAAAUCUGGCUGUCGAGAUGCCUAAAAAGCAUUUCAUAGCAAGGGCCGGGCAAGACCGGUGCCAGCCGCCGCGGUAACACCGGCGGCUCGAGUGGUAACCGUUAUUAUUGGGUCUAAAGGGUCUGUAGCCGGCCGGAUAAGUCUCUUGAGAAAUCUGGCAGCUUAACUGUCAGGCUUUCAGGAGAUACUGUCUGGCUCGAGGCCGGGAGAGGUGAGAGGUACUUCAGGGGUAGGAGUGAAAUCUUGUAAUCCUUGAGGGACCACCAGUGGCGAAGGCGUCUCACCAGAACGGACCUGACGGCAAGGGACGAAAGCUAGGGGCACGAACC
This 384-nucleotide ribosomal RNA is filed under the name uncultured prokaryote. Its description in RNAcentral is "bacterial SSU rRNA". It matches the Rfam family "Archaeal small subunit ribosomal RNA", at positions 341 to 725 of the family's 1478-position model. The record is from RNAcentral.